ACAACAUCAGUUCAGUUUCGAAGUUCAAACCUAUCAUGCUGUUACUUAGCACAUCAGUAUAGAUAAGACAGACCUGAUAAACAGUCUCUCUCACAAAAACUGAAGGUUCUUAGCCCACUCUGGGUGCGGCCAGGCCAGAAAGACUCAAACAGGAAGAAAGCAAUGCAGAUAAGCACAAAGGUGAUUCAGCAGGACGACGGAGCUGGAAGAGGGUACCAGUAGCCAUUGUGAGAACUGCCUCCUUAACCUGACCAGUGCAUCUUGGUACCAUGAAACUACAGUAUAUUCGGCAGAACAAGAUCCCGCUUUAAGGCUCAUUUCACACGGCGGCGAGGCAGAUCAGGACAGGAGCACUGCUGAUUAAACCCAUGGGCUGUUCUGCAGCUGAACACACAGAGAUCCAGUUUCUUUUGUUACCUGUGGGUAUGUUUCCAUGCGGGCUCAGAUCUAGUCAGAAUGGAUCACUCAUAUCCUGAAGAAAAGAAGUGAAACAAGAGACAUUAUUUUGAUGGGGUCUGCAGAAACUCAAUCUGCAGUGGACCCCUGUUGGUUCUGCAUGAACGAGGACUGAAGGUG
RNAcentral lists this long non-coding RNA (576 nucleotides) under Gopherus agassizii (Agassiz's desert tortoise). Its description in RNAcentral is "lncRNA (ENSGAGG00000009393.1)". The record is from RNAcentral. Lineage: Eukaryota; Metazoa; Chordata; Testudines; Testudinidae.